ACUCCUACGGGAGGCAGCAGUGGGAAUAUUGCACAAUGGGAAGCCAUCGAUGCAGCCAUGCCGCGCUGUGUGAAGAAGGCCUUCGGGUUGUAAAGACACUUUCAGUAGGGAGGAAGGUAGUGUAGUUAACACCUGCAUUAUUUGACGUUACCUACAGAAGAAGCACCGGCUAACUCCGUGCCAGCAGCCGCGGUAAUACGGAGGGUGCGAGCGUUAAUCGGAAUUACUGGGCGUAAAGCGCAUGCAGGCGGCCUGUUAAGUCAGAUGUGAAAGCCCGGGGCUUAACCUCGGAAUUGCAUUUGAAACUGGCAGGCUAGAGUCUUGUAGAGGGGGUGAGAAUUGAUCAGGUGUAGCGGUG
This 358-nucleotide ribosomal RNA is filed under the name uncultured bacterium. RNAcentral's name for it is "bacterial SSU rRNA". It matches the Rfam family "Bacterial small subunit ribosomal RNA", at positions 335 to 683 of the family's 1533-position model. The record is from RNAcentral.